Molecule: non-coding RNA, 262 nt
Organism: Drosophila melanogaster (fruit fly)
Lineage: Eukaryota; Metazoa; Arthropoda; Insecta; Diptera; Drosophilidae
Source: Ensembl
AGUUCCUAAGAGAGACAUCACGAUGAAACUACAAUUCCUCCUGUUUGCCUUGUUGGUUUGCUGUUUGGUCAGCAAUGCUGCAAGUAUAUGUUGUUGUACGAAAUAUGUUGUGCGUAAUGGGAAGUGUAAAAAAAUAUAUAUAUGCAGCCGUCACAGACAUCAUUGCAGAAGCCAUCGAGAAUCGUGGUGUGGAGAUAUUUUCCAAUAUGGUUAGGAGGCGAAAAUUAGAAAAUGUUAAUCGAAAAACUAAUUUUAUAAAAAU